Molecule: ribosomal RNA, 253 nt
Filed under: uncultured bacterium
Lineage: Bacteria
Description: partial 16S ribosomal RNA
Rfam family: Bacterial small subunit ribosomal RNA
Source: RNAcentral
GACGAACCGAGCGAACGUUGUUCGGAAUCACUGGGCUUAAAGGGCGCGUAGGCGGGCUGCCGCGUCCGGGGUGAAAUCCUCCGGCUCAACCGGGGAACGGCCUCGGAUACGGGCGGCCUCGAGGGGGGUAGGGGCAUGCGGAACUGUGAGUGGAGCGGUGAAAUGCGUUGAUAUUCACAGGAACUCCGGUGGCGAAGGCGGCGUGCUGGACCCCUUCUGACGCUGAGGCGCGAAAGCCAGGGGAGCAAACGGG